Molecule: ribosomal RNA, 799 nt
Filed under: uncultured soil archaeon
Lineage: Archaea
Description: bacterial SSU rRNA
Rfam family: Archaeal small subunit ribosomal RNA
Source: RNAcentral
GUAGGCGCACAGUCAGUAACCGUGGCUAACCUGCCCUUGGGACGGAAACAUCCCCGGGAAACUGGGGCUAAUUUCCGAUAGGUGAAGACUCCUUGAAUGGAUUUUCGCCGAAAAGGUGCUUAGGGCAUGCUUCUAGGCGUUGCCCAAGGAUGGGGCCGCGGCCGAUCAGGUUGUUGGUGAGGUAAUGGCUCACCAAGCCUUUAACCGGUACGGGCCGUGGGAGCGGUAGCCCGGAGAUGGGCACUGAGACAAGGGCCCAGGCCCUACGGGGCGCAGCAGUCGCGAAAACUUCGCAAUAAGCGAAAGCUUGACGGGGCCAUCCCGAGUGCCAUCUGCUGAGGAUGGCUUUUACCCAGUAUAGAUAGCUGGGGGAAUAAGGAGAGGGCAAGUCUGGUGUCAGCCGCCGCGGUAAUACCAGCUCUCCGAGUUGUAGGGAUGUUUAUUGGGCCUAAAGCAUCCGUAGCCGGCUGGACAAGUCCUCUGUUAAAUCCAGCGACCAAUCGUUGGUCUGCGGGGGAUACUGUCCGGCUAGGGGGCGGGAGAGGCCGUCGGUAUUCUUGGGGUAGGGGUGAAAUCCUAUAAUCCCAGGAGGACCACCAGUGGCGAAGGCUGUCGGCUAGAACGCGCCCGACGGUGAGGGAUGAAAGCUGGGGGAGCGAACCGGAUUAGAUACCCGGGUAGUCCCAGCUGUAAACGAUGCAGGCUAGGUGUUAGGGCGGCUACGUGCCGCUCUAGUGCCGCAGGGAAGCUGUUAAGCCUGCCGCCUGGGGAGUAAGCCGCAGAGCUGAACUUAAGGCCA